Non-coding RNA from Pelobates cultripes (western spadefoot toad), 741 nucleotides. The record is from the annotation of a GenBank genome assembly. Lineage: Eukaryota; Metazoa; Chordata; Amphibia; Anura; Pelobatidae.
UAGAAAUUGUUGCCCUGCAGUGACUUCUCCUCACCUGUUUCUCCCCUAUACCCGUUAGUGGGUAAUCUGGACUUGGAACCGGUGAAAUCUCCACAUUACCUGAAAUCUUUAGGCAUACCAACACUGCAGACUGAAAGAUAUCUAUACAGGAGGCACGUUAACGCACCUCCCUGCCCCACAUCCAAUCAACUUCAUCACACAUGUUCACUACCACGAACAAGUAAGGUUUGUGAAAAACAUCCUGAACCUCGAAUCAGCGAACAGACAACUAACCGACUACGAGGCACUUUGCACGGAAACGCUGCCGCUGGCCCACACCAUUUCGGUACCAUAUCACCUACUGCAUACACAACAGCUCCCAUACUUUACUAAAUACUGGGAAACAGAUUUGAGACACCCCCUAACACCUAAACAAUGGACCCAACUGUUCGCACUAACGCACAAAUCAUCCAUUAGCACCAAGAGGCAAGCUUCAAGAUGGUGUCCCACAGGUACAAGAGUACAGAAAGACAUUUUACUAUGGGAUUCAACUGUGACCUUGAAUGCUGGUGGAGGUGCCGGAAGAUACAACCUUUCUGGGAUGAGCUAUACUAGACUGUGUCCUUAAUCACAGAAGCACAAUUGAAAUUUUCACCGGACACCUAACUACUUCAAGUAACUACGAUUCCACUCAAAUCUUACAAGAGAUCAAUAUUACCACACUUACUUAAUGCUGGGGAAUCGAGGAGCCCAUAUUUAUAG